Molecule: ribosomal RNA, 478 nt
Filed under: uncultured bacterium
Lineage: Bacteria
Description: bacterial SSU rRNA
Rfam family: Bacterial small subunit ribosomal RNA
Source: RNAcentral
GAUGAACGCUGGCGGCGUGCCUAACACAUGCAAGUCGAACGGAGUUUAUAUUAUGAAGUUUUCGGAUGGAAUGAUAUAAACUUAGUGGCGGACGGGUGAGUAACGCGUGGGUAACCUGCCUCAUACAGGGGGAUAACAGUUGGAAACGACUGCUAACACCGCAUAAGCAUACAGUAUCGCAUGAUACAGUGUGAAAAUAUUUAUAGGUAUGAGAUGGGCCCGCGUCUGAUUAGCUAGUUGGUGAGGUAAAGGCUCACCAAGGCGACGAUCAGUAGCCGGCUUGAGAGAGUGACCGGCCACAUUGGGACUGAGACACGGCCCAAACUCCUACGGGAGGCAGCAGUGGGGAAUAUUGCACAAUGGGGGAAACCCUGAUGCAGCGACGCCGCGUGAGUGAAGAAGUAUUUCGGUAUGUAAAGCUCUAUCAGCAGGGAAGAAAAUGACGGUACCUGACUAAGAAGCCCCGGCUAACUACGUG